GGCAUGUUUGGGUAUGUUGGAUUGUGGGUUCGAUGUUGGCUCACUUCACUCGAGAGUUGAGGCACGUUAGGUGUAGUGCCCGUGCUUAGCAUGGACUUGCGGGAUCCGUUUGCCUCGGACACCACAGCCUGGCGUUAGAAUUUGUGCACGACGAUUGGUUUCAUCCUGUCUAAUGUCAUCGCUGCCUUAUUCCUUGGCAAGCUUGUUCUUGGGCAUCGUUCUAUACCCGGCCAUUACCCCAUCGUGUGUUGCUUGUGCAUGCAUGGUACCAUGCCCCUUCUUGUGCCUAGCGGUGCGUGCUUUGGGCUAUGCUUGGCGCCUUCGAUGGCCUAUUGGCUAUCGAUGUGCGGCACACUCGUAUGAUGCACAGCAUACAUGAUGGUGCGCGAGUGGUGUUUAGCUUGUUGCGGCGAGUGGGAUCCCUGCUUGAGCACGACCUCCUGGCAUGCAAGCCCCUUCAGUUGCGGUUCAAGAGCACUAUUAGCCUUGGCCUCCCUACGGGUUUCCUACGUUGCAUACCCAACGUUGACGGCAUUUGAUUUGUCCCAAAGUUCCCCGUUCGCCUCGAGUUGGCCCUUGCGGGUGCGGCUCGGGGUGUACCACAAAGCCCCUACCAUGUCCCAUGCCACGGGCGCCUCUUGGUGUCGUGGCCCUGGCCCCCGACGGGUGGCUCAAGCUUUCAGAUACAGAAUGCCCUGCGGUUAAGGGCCCCGAUCCCUGAAUAGCUAGCAUGAAGCCUUUGUCGCUAACCAGCGCACGACUGCCGUGCCCAUCUCGAGAGGUCCGGCCCCUUGGUCGGCCAUCCCGUGCGGAUACGACGUCGGUGAGGAAUGCUACCAGGUUGAUCCUGCUAAUAGUUAUAUGCUUGUCUCAAAGAUUAAGCCAUGCAUGUGUAAGU
This 898-nucleotide unclassified non-coding RNA is filed under the name Pteleocarpa lamponga. RNAcentral's name for it is "partial external transcribed spacer". The stretch from base 835 to 898 matches the Rfam family "Eukaryotic small subunit ribosomal RNA", at positions 1 to 64 of the family's 1831-position model. The record is from RNAcentral. Lineage: Eukaryota; Viridiplantae; Streptophyta; Magnoliopsida; Boraginales; Ehretiaceae.